This 253-nucleotide ribosomal RNA is filed under the name uncultured bacterium. RNAcentral describes it as "partial 16S ribosomal RNA". It matches the Rfam family "Bacterial small subunit ribosomal RNA", at positions 524 to 776 of the family's 1533-position model. The record is from RNAcentral.
GACAGAGGGUGCAAACGUUGUUCGGAAUUACUGGGCGUAAAGGGCGCGUAGGUGGCGCGGGAAGUCAACGGUGAAAGUUCGGGGCUCAACCCUGAAUCGGCCGUCGAUACUCCCGGGCUCGAGCACUGUAGAGGCAGAUGGAAUUCCGGGUGUAGCGGUGGAAUGCGUAGAGAUCCGGAAGAACACCGGUGGCGAAGGCGGUCUGCUGGGCAGUUGCUGACACUGAGGCGCGACAGCGUGGGGAGCAAACAGG